This 773-nucleotide ribosomal RNA is filed under the name bacterium EA10-17. Its description in RNAcentral is "bacterial SSU rRNA". It matches the Rfam family "Bacterial small subunit ribosomal RNA", at positions 49 to 836 of the family's 1533-position model. The record is from RNAcentral.
UUACACAUGCAAGUCGAACGAUGAUGCCCACUUGUGGGUGGAUUAGUGGCGAACGGGUGAGUAACACGUGAGUAACCUGCCCUUAACUCUGGGAUAAGCCUGGGAAACUGGGUCUAAUACCGGAUAUGACUCCUCAUCGCAUGGUGGGGGGUGGAAAGCUUUUUGUGGUUUUGGAUGGACUCGCGGCCUAUCAGCUUGUUGGUGAGGUAAUGGCUCACCAAGGCGACGACGGGUAGCCGGCCUGAGAGGGUGACCGGCCACACUGGGACUGAGACACGGCCCAGACUCCUACGGGAGGCAGCAGUGGGGAAUAUUGCACAAUGGGCGAAAGCCUGAUGCAGCGACGCCGCGUGAGGGAUGACGGCCUUCGGGUUGUAAACCUCUUUCAGUAGGGAAGAAGCGAAAGUGACGGUACCUGCAGAAGAAGCGCCGGCUAACUACGUGCCAGCAGCCGCGGUAAUACGUAGGGCGCAAGCGUUAUCCGGAAUUAUUGGGCGUAAAGAGCUCGUAGGCGGUUUGUCGCGUCUGCCGUGAAAGUCCGGGGCUCAACUCCGGAUCUGCGGUGGGUACGGGCAGACUAGAGUGAUGUAGGGGAGACUGGAAUUCCUGGUGUAGCGGUGAAAUGCGCAGAUAUCAGGAGGAACNNCNAUGGCGAAGGCAGGUCUCUGGGCAUUAACUGACGCUGAGGAGCGAAAGCAUGGGGAGCGAACAGGAUUAGAUNCNCUGGUAGUCCAUGCCGUAAACGUUGGGCACUAGGUGUGGGGGACAUUCCA